Molecule: ribosomal RNA, 364 nt
Filed under: uncultured bacterium
Lineage: Bacteria
Description: bacterial SSU rRNA
Rfam family: Bacterial small subunit ribosomal RNA
Source: RNAcentral
GGUAGCCGACCUGAGAGGGUGACCGGCCACACUGGGACUGAGACACGGCCCAGACUCCUACGGNAGGCAGCANUGGGGAAUAUUGCACAAUGGGCGGAAGCCUGAUGCAGCGACGCCGCGUGAGGGAUGAAGGCCUUCGGGUUGUAAACCUCUUUCAGCAGGGACGAAGCGUGAGUGACGGUACCUGCAGAAGAAGCACCGGCUAACUACGUGCCAGCAGCCGCGGUAAUACGUAGGGUGCGAGCGUUGUCCGGAAUUACUGGGCGUAAAGAGUUCGUAGGCGGUUUGUCGCGUCGUUUGUGAAAACCCGGGGCUCAACUUCGGGCUUGCANGCGAUACGGGCAGACUUGAGUGUUUCAGGGGA